RNAcentral lists this ribosomal RNA (264 nucleotides) under uncultured bacterium. RNAcentral's name for it is "partial 16S ribosomal RNA". It matches the Rfam family "Bacterial small subunit ribosomal RNA", at positions 337 to 598 of the family's 1533-position model. The record is from RNAcentral.
UCCUACGGGGGGCAGCAGUGAGGAAUAUUGGUCAAUGGCCGGGAGGCUGAACCAGCCAAGUCGCGUGAGGGAAGACGGCCCUACGGGUUGUAAACCUCUUUUGUCAGGGAGCAAGGGGCAGGUCGGGCCCUGCUGUGAGAGUACCUGAAGAAAAAGCAUCGGCUAACUCCGUGCCAGCAGCCGCGGUAAUACGGAGGAUGCGAGCGUUAUCCGGAUUUAUUGGGGUUAAAGGGUGCGCAGGCGGAGGCACAAGUCAGCGGUAAA